Molecule: non-coding RNA, 163 nt
Filed under: Kordiimonas sp.
Lineage: Bacteria; Pseudomonadati; Pseudomonadota; Alphaproteobacteria; Kordiimonadales; Kordiimonadaceae
Description: 6S RNA
Rfam family: 6S / SsrS RNA
About the family: E. coli 6S RNA was the first non coding RNA to be sequenced, but its function was unknown until recently. It consists of 184 nucleotides that fold into an extended hairpin structure with a large single-stranded internal bulge.
Source: RNAcentral
GGGUUUCUGCUCUGUUUGUGUAGGACACACUAUCCCUGGGGCGAUAAUUUUUAUCUAUGGGAGCUGUCCCUGCCCGGACCGUGGUCCGUGUAAAUGGCGCCCACCUGGUUGCUUUGGCACCAGAGGAUAUACACAGUACCUACACGGCAGCAGCGGUCCCGUC